CUCGACUCAAAUCCAUAAUAGUUAAAUACUGAGCACCUGCUAACUGAUCCAGUAGUUCAUCUAUCCUGGGCAUGGGGUAAGCAUCAAAUGUGGUCACUGCAUUUAACCUUCUGUAGUCUACACAAAACCUGAUGGAUUUAUCUUUCUUGGGAACCAGCACUACAGGAGAAGCCCAGGGGCUCUUUGAUUUCCUAAUUACCCCAAGCCCCAACAUGUCUUC
Molecule: non-coding RNA, 220 nt
Organism: Pelobates cultripes (western spadefoot toad)
Lineage: Eukaryota; Metazoa; Chordata; Amphibia; Anura; Pelobatidae
Source: the annotation of a GenBank genome assembly